GAAUUCAACUCCUACGGGAGGCAGCAGUGGGGAAUAUUGGACAAUGGGGGAAACCCUGAUCCAGCCAUGCCGCGUGUGUGAAGAAGGCCUUUUGGUUGUAAAGCACUUUAAGCAGUGAAGAAGACUCCGUGGUUAAUACCCACGGACGAUGACAUUAGCUGCAGAAUAAGCACCGGCUAACUCUGUGCCAGCAGCCGCGGUAAUACAGAGGGUGCAAGCGUUAGUCGGAAUUACUGGGCGUAAAGGGAGCGUAGGUGGCUCUAUAAGUCAGAUGUGAAAUCCCCGGGCUCAACCUGGGAACUGCAUCUGAAGCUGUAGAGCUAGAGUAUGUGAGAGGAAGGUAGAAUUCCAGGUGUAGCGGUGAAAUGCGUAGAGAUCUGGAGGAAUACCGAUGGCGAAGGUAGCCUUCUGGCAUAAUACUGACACUGAGGCUCGAAAGCGUGGGUAGCAAACAGGAUUAGAAACCCUUGUAGUCCAGGCGUU
This 483-nucleotide ribosomal RNA is filed under the name uncultured bacterium. Its description in RNAcentral is "bacterial SSU rRNA". It matches the Rfam family "Bacterial small subunit ribosomal RNA", at positions 328 to 803 of the family's 1533-position model. The record is from RNAcentral.